GGUUAAGCGACUAAGCGUACACGGUGGAUGCCCUGGCAGUCAGAGGCGAUGAAGGACGUGCUAAUCUGCGAUAAGCGUCGGUGAGGUGAUAUGAACCGUUAUAACCGGCGAUUUCCGAAUGGGGAAACCCAGUGUGUUUCGACACACUAUCAUUAACUGAAUCCAUAGGUUAAUGAGGCGAACCGGGGAACUGAAACAUCUAAGUACCCCGAGGAAAAGAAAUCAACCGAGAUUCCCCCAGUAGCGGCGAGCGAACGGGGAGGAGCCCAGAGCCUGAAUCAGUGUGUGUGUUAGUGGAAGCGUCUGGAAAGGCGUGCGAUACAGGGUGACAGCCCCGUACACAAAAAUGCACAUAUUGUGAGCUCGAUGAGUAGGGCGGGACACGUGGUAUCCUGUCUGAAUAUGGGGGGACCAUCCUCCAAGGCUAAAUACUCCUGACUGACCGAUAGUGAACCAGUACCGUGAGGGAAAGGCGAAAAGAACCCCGGCGAGGGGAGUGAAAAAGAACCUGAAACCGUGUACGUACAAGCAGUGGGAGCCUCUUAAUGGGGUGACUGCGUACCUUUUGUAUAAUGGGUCAGCGACUUAUAUUCUGUAGCAAGGUUAACCGAAUAGGGGAGCCGAAGGGAAACCGAGUCUUAACUGGGCGUUAAGUUGCAGGGUAUAGACCCGAAACCCGGUGAUCUAGCCAUGGGCAGGUUGAAGGUUGGGUAACACUAACUGGAGGACCGAACCGACUAAUGUUGAAAAAUUAGCGGAUGACUUGUGGCUGGGGGUGAAAGGCCAAUCAAACCGGGAGAUAGCUGGUUCUCCCCGAAAGCUAUUUAGGUAGCGCCUCGUGAAUUCAUCUCCGGGGGUAGAGCACUGUUUCGGCAAGGGGGUCAUCCCGACUUACCAACCCGAUGCAAACUGCGAAUACCGGAGAAUGUUAUCACGGGAGACACACGGCGGGUGCUAACGUCCGUCGUGAAGAGGGAAACAACCCAGACCGCCAGCUAAGGUCCCAAAGUCAUGGUUAAGUGGGAAACGAUGUGGGAAGGCCCAGACAGCCAGGAUGUUGGCUUAGAAGCAGCCAUCAUUUAAAGAAAGCGUAAUAGCUCACUGGUCGAGUCGGCCUGCGCGGAAGAUGUAACGGGGCUAAACCAUGCACCGAAGCUGCGGCAGCGACACUAUGUGUUGUUGGGUAGGGGAGCGUUCUGUAAGCCUGUGAAGGUGUGCUGUGAGGCAUGCUGGAGGUAUCAGAAGUGCGAAUGCUGACAUAAGUAACGAUAAAGCGGGUGAAAAGCCCGCUCGCCGGAAGACCAAGGGUUCCUGUCCAACGUUAAUCGGGGCAGGGUGAGUCGACCCCUAAGGCGAGGCCGAAAGGCGUAGUCGAUGGGAAACAGGUUAAUAUUCCUGUACUUGGUGUUACUGCGAAGGGGGGACGGAGAAGGCUAUGUUGGCCGGGCGACGGUUGUCCCGGUUUAAGCGUGUAGGCUGGUUUUCCAGGCAAAUCCGGAAAACCAAGGCUGAGGCGUGAUGACGAGGCACUACGGUGCUGAAGCGACAAAUGCCCUGCUUCCAGGAAAAGCCUCUAAGCAUCAGGUAACAUCAAAUCGUACCCCAAACCGACACAGGUGGUCAGGUAGAGAAUACCAAGGCGCUUGAGAGAACUCGGGUGAAGGAACUAGGCAAAAUGGUGCCGUAACUUCGGGAGAAGGCACGCUGAUAUGUAGGUGAAGCGACUUGCUCGUGGAGCUGAAAUCAGUCGAAGAUACCAGCUGGCUGCAACUGUUUAUUAAAAACACAGCACUGUGCAAACACGAAAGUGGACGUAUACGGUGUGACGCCUGCCCGGUGCCGGAAGGUUAAUUGAUGGGGUUAGCGGUAACGCGAAGCUCUUGAUCGAAGCCCCGGUAAACGGCGGCCGUAACUAUAACGGUCCUAAGGUAGCGAAAUUCCUUGUCGGGUAAGUUCCGACCUGCACGAAUGGCGUAAUGAUGGCCGGGCUGUCUCCACCCGAGACUCAGUGAAAUUGAACUCGCUGUGAAGAUGCAGUGUACCCGCGGCAAGACGGAAAGACCCCGUGAACCUUUACUAUAGCUUGACACUGAACAUUGAGCCUUGAUGUGUAGGAUAGGUGGGAGGCUUUGAAGUGUGGACGCCAGUCUGCAUGGAGCCGGCCUUGAAAUACCACCCUUUAAUGUUUGAUGUUCUAACGUUGGCCCGUAAUCCGGGUUGCGGACAGUGUCUGGUGGGUAGUUUGACUGGGGCGGUCUCCUCCUAAAGAGUAACGGAGGAGCACGAAGGUUGGCUAAUCCUGGUCGGACAUCAGGAGGUUAGUGCAAUGGCAUAAGCCAGCUUGACUGCGAGCGUGACGGCGCGAGCAGGUGCGAAAGCAGGUCAUAGUGAUCCGGUGGUUCUGAAUGGAAGGGCCAUCGCUCAACGGAUAAAAGGUACUCCGGGGAUAACAGGCUGAUACCGCCCAAGAGUUCAUAUCGACGGCGGUGUUUGGCACCUCGAUGUCGGCUCAUCACAUCCUCGGGGCUGAAGUAGGUCCCAAGGGUAUGGCUGUUCGCCAUUUAAAGUGGUACGCGAGCUGGGUUUAGAACGUCGUGAGACAGUUCGGUCCCUAUCUGCCGUGGGCGCUGGAGAACUGAGGGGGCUGCUCCUAGUACGAGAGGACCGGAGUGGACGCAUCACUGGUGUUCGGGUUGUCAUGCCAAUGGCACUGCCCGGUAGCUAAAUGCGGAAGAGAUAAGUGCUGAAAGCAUCUAAGCACGAAACUUGCCCCGAGAUGAGUUCUCCCUGAGACUUUAAGUCUCCUGAAGGAACGUUGAAGACGACGACGUUGAUAGGCCGGGUGUGUAAGCGCAGCGAUGCGUUGAGCUAACCGGUACUAAUGAACCGUGAGGCUUAACCUU
RNAcentral lists this ribosomal RNA (2903 nucleotides) under Escherichia coli. Its description in RNAcentral is "23S ribosomal RNA". It matches the Rfam family "Bacterial large subunit ribosomal RNA". The record is from RNAcentral. Lineage: Bacteria; Pseudomonadati; Pseudomonadota; Gammaproteobacteria; Enterobacterales; Enterobacteriaceae.